Lates calcarifer (barramundi perch) is the source of this 829-nucleotide long non-coding RNA. RefSeq lists it as uncharacterized. NCBI's taxonomy places the organism in Eukaryota, Metazoa, Chordata, Actinopteri, Centropomidae. The record is from RefSeq and is a predicted model, not a curated record. The transcript is spliced from 4 exons.
CACGUUCACGUUCAAGAGUGGUAGCAGAGUUAAUAUCAACAGUGUUGCUAACUGUUCUUAAAAUAUGUCUUCACAGGUAGCACAGCCCCUGUGAAGAAAUGUGUUGCACCAGUCUGGACCAAGUGUUUAAAGCCAUUUAAGCCGGUUAACCAGUGGCCUCCGACAGAGCAUGGAAACAAGACAGUGUUGGAGUUACCAGAAGGAGUAUUCAUCCUCUUUUGGCAGAGUUUGCCACCUCCCGUCUUCUCAGCCCUCGUGUCAAGCUAACACAUCCCAGACCAGAUGAAAAUGAUUACCAGCCCAUCGUGCUCCUGUUUCCAUCAAACCCUCAAUCUACCAGCAAACCGUGAUCCUCUGACAGCAGCAAUCACAACCUAUUGAAAAUGUCCCUCUCAUCAGAAGAUGGCAGCAUGCAGAAAUCUAUAAAAGGUUUUAAUGUUGUGGGCCUGCUAUGAUUGCCCGGGCUUUUAUCUGUUAUUCACCAGAUCACAGUGUCCCACUCUCUCCUGCUUGUCUCUGUCAGGCUAAAGACAGGCAGAGAGCAUUAGCUGUAAUGGCAGCUCCAUUGUUGCAGGUAGAUAGGUCAUAUCUUACCAAUACUAAUUGUGUCUGCUUGACAGAGAUAGUUUCUUCCUGCCUCAUAAUUUGCCUUUUGCCUGCUUUUUUCAGAGGAAACAAGACAAAAAAGAGAAAGGACAUGAAUAUACAAAGAUUUUCUUCCAUGAGUUGGUAUAUUGAUAAUCUAUGUCAAAAUUAUCCUUCCAUAUUUUGUAUAUAAGCGAGUGUAUGUUGCUCCUUGAUUCAACCUUGUGUUAGACUAGAAAUUCAA